GCCGAGGUGGCGAAAUGGUAUACGCAAGAGACUUAAAAUCUCUCGACUUAAUGUCAUGCGGGUUCGAGCCCCGCCCUCGGCACCU
RNAcentral lists this transfer RNA (85 nucleotides) under bacterium. RNAcentral describes it as "tRNA-Leu". It matches the Rfam family "tRNA". From Rfam's summary of the family: Transfer RNA (tRNA) molecules are approximately 80 nucleotides in length. The record is from RNAcentral.